UACGUAGGGGGCAAGCGUUGUCCGGAAUCAUUGGGCGUAAAGCGCGUGUAGGCGGCUCGGUAAGUCCGCUCUGAAAGCCCGGGGCUCAACCCCGGGAGGCGGGUGGAUACUGCUGAGCUCGAGUCCGGAAGAGGAGUGUGGAAUUCCUGGUGUAGCGGUGAAAUGCGCAGAUAUCAGGAGGAACACCAAUGGCGAAGGCAGCACUCUGGGACGGUACUGACGCUAAGACGCGAAAGCGUGGGGAGCAAACAGG
RNAcentral lists this ribosomal RNA (253 nucleotides) under uncultured bacterium. Its description in RNAcentral is "partial 16S ribosomal RNA". It matches the Rfam family "Bacterial small subunit ribosomal RNA", at positions 524 to 776 of the family's 1533-position model. The record is from RNAcentral.